Molecule: small nucleolar RNA, 130 nt
Organism: Jaculus jaculus (lesser Egyptian jerboa)
Lineage: Eukaryota; Metazoa; Chordata; Mammalia; Rodentia; Dipodidae
Product: small nucleolar RNA SNORA33
Exons: 1
Source: RefSeq, a predicted model, not a curated record
AAGCCAGUCAAUUAAUCUGCUUAUAUGAAUGAGUUUCUACAGAAAGUUAGAAAAAUCUGGCAAUAGUUAUGGCAUUUUAUAAGUGUAAGGACAACUGAGGUCAUUAUUGUCCCUGCAAAUAGCUAUGAUA